AUUGAACGCUGGCGGCAGGCUUAACACAUGCAAGUCGAGCGGAGUGAUGGUGCUUGCACUAUCACUUUGCGGCGGACGGGUGAGUAAUGCUUAGGAAUCCGCCUAUUAGUGGGGGACAACAUCUCGAAAGGGAUGCUAAUACCGCAUACGUCCUACGGGAGAAAGCAGGGGAUCACUUGUGACCUUGCGCUAAUAGAUGAGCCUAAGUCGGAUUAGCUAGUUGGUGGGGUAAAGGCCUACCAAGGCGACGAUCUGUAGCGGGUCUGAGAGGAUGAUCCGCCACACUGGGACUGAGACACGGCCCAGACUCCUACGGGAGGCAGCAGUGGGGAAUAUUGGACAAUGGGGGGAACCCUGAUCCAGCCAUGCCGCGUGUGUGAAGAAGGCCUUAUGGUUGUAAAGCACUUUAAGCGAGGAGGAGGCUCUUUUGGUUAAUACCCAAGAUGAGUGGACGUUACUCGCAGAAUAAGCACCGGCUAACUCUGUGCCAGCCGCCGCGGUAA
RNAcentral lists this ribosomal RNA (503 nucleotides) under uncultured bacterium. Its description in RNAcentral is "partial 16S ribosomal RNA". It matches the Rfam family "Bacterial small subunit ribosomal RNA", at positions 30 to 523 of the family's 1533-position model. The record is from RNAcentral.